AGCUUGAAGCUCAAAGUUGCCGGUUAACUCAGGUAAGGGGGGUUUAUCGUCGUUUAAUGGGUAUUAUGGGUUAACAUGUAAUGGGUAGUGAUAAGCCAUUGAUUUGACCCUAAUUGGGAUGUUGAAUGCUGAAAAGUUGUGUUGGAUAAGUUGUAUUAAAGAUGUAAUUGAAUCGGUAUUUGUGUGAGUGGUAAUUUUCCGAAAACGUAGCUUUU
Molecule: long non-coding RNA, 215 nt
Filed under: Lathyrus oleraceus (garden pea)
Lineage: Eukaryota; Viridiplantae; Streptophyta; Magnoliopsida; Fabales; Fabaceae
Description: Pisum sativum (pea) long non-coding RNA (PSAT_LNC015396)
Source: RNAcentral